This 25-nucleotide non-coding RNA is filed under the name Arabidopsis thaliana (thale cress). RNAcentral also lists the same sequence under 2 other names. Lineage: Eukaryota; Viridiplantae; Streptophyta; Magnoliopsida; Brassicales; Brassicaceae. The record is from RNAcentral.
CGUGCCGGCCGGGGGACGGACUGGG